AUACGUAGGGUGCGAGCGUUGUCCGGAAUUACUGGGCGUAAAGAGCUCGUAGGUGGUUUGUCGCGUCGUCUGUGAAAUUCCGGGGCUUGACUCCGGGCGUGCAGGCGAUACGGGCAUAACUUGAGUACUGUAGGGGAGACUGGAAUUCCUGGUGUAGCGGUGAAAUGCGCAGAUAUCAGGAGGAACACCGGUGGCGAAGGCGGGUCUCUGGGCAGUAACUGACGCUGAGGAGCGAAAGCAUGGGUAGCGAACAGGAUUAGAUACCCUGGUAGUCCAUGCCGUAAACGGUGGGCGCUAGGUGUAGGGGUCCUCCACGACUUCUGUGCCGUAGCUAACGCAUUAAGCGCCCCGCCUGGGGAGUACGGCCGCAAGGCUAAAACUCAAAUGAAUUGACGGG
Molecule: ribosomal RNA, 397 nt
Filed under: uncultured bacterium
Lineage: Bacteria
Description: partial 16S ribosomal RNA
Rfam family: Bacterial small subunit ribosomal RNA
Source: RNAcentral